Molecule: transfer RNA, 77 nt
Filed under: Alphaproteobacteria bacterium
Lineage: Bacteria; Pseudomonadati; Pseudomonadota; Alphaproteobacteria
Also listed under: 1 other name
Description: tRNA-Asp
Rfam family: tRNA
About the family: Transfer RNA (tRNA) molecules are approximately 80 nucleotides in length. Their secondary structure includes four short double-helical elements and three loops (D, anti-codon, and T loops). Further hydrogen bonds mediate the characteristic L-shaped molecular structure. tRNAs have two regions of fundamental functional importance: the anti-codon, which is responsible for specific mRNA codon recognition, and the 3' end, to which the tRNAs corresponding amino acid is attached (by aminoacyl-tRNA synthetases). tRNAs cope with the degeneracy of the genetic code in two manners: having more than one tRNA (with a specific anti-codon) for a particular amino acid; and 'wobble' base-pairing, i.e. permitting non-standard base-pairing at the 3rd anti-codon position.
Source: RNAcentral
GGGGGUGUAGCUCAGCUGGUUAGAGCGUCUGCCUGUCACGCAGAAGGUCGCGGGUCCGAGCCCCGUCACUCCCGCCA